This 541-nucleotide long non-coding RNA is filed under the name Solanum tuberosum (potato). RNAcentral's name for it is "long non-coding RNA (STUB_LNC006227)". Lineage: Eukaryota; Viridiplantae; Streptophyta; Magnoliopsida; Solanales; Solanaceae. The record is from RNAcentral.
AACAAAUUAAGCACGGCAGACAUGUCUUGCUGGACCGAAUAAGGCCAAAAAAAAUCAAACAAACACUAAAGGUAUCCACAGACUGACAAAUUCAUGAAAGUAAGAAUGACAAACAAUAUAAAGAAGUAACCUUUAACAACCAGCUUCAAUAAUUUUAAUAAACUAUAUCAUAACAACCAUGGUCAGAACUGUACUUGCCUCUAUGUGUGUGUGUGUGUGUGUGUGUGUGUGUGUGUGUGUGUGUGUGUGUGUGUGUGUGUGUGUGUGUGUGUGUGUGUGUGUGUGUGUGUGUGUGUGUGUGUGUGUGUGUGUGUGUGUGUGUGUGUGUGUGUGUGUGUGUGUGUGUGUGUGUGUGUGUGUGUGUGUGUGUGUGUGUGUGUGUGUGUGUGUGUGUGUGUGUGUGUGUGUGUGUGUGUGUGUGUGUGUGUGUGUGUGUGUGUGUGUGUGUGUGUGUGUGUGGAGACCACAAUCUUAAAGUAGUCAUAAAAUGAGAAAUAAAGAUUUAAGGCCAAACCUCCAAGCGUUGUAGGUCAGUUACAGC